RNAcentral lists this ribosomal RNA (829 nucleotides) under Herpetomonas sp. CMCC-2021f. Its description in RNAcentral is "SSU rRNA". The record is from RNAcentral. Lineage: Eukaryota; Euglenozoa; Kinetoplastea; Trypanosomatida; Trypanosomatidae.
UCCAAAAGCGUAUAUUAAUGCUGUUGCUGUUAAAGGGUUCGUAGUUGAAUUGAGGGCCGUGAAGGGGUAUUUUUUCUGGUAAGUCCACGCCCAAGUCGGGCGUGGACCCAGACCCUUGCGGUCCGUGAACGAAGAAUUUUUAUUCGGAUACAAGAAACACGGGAAUGGUUCCUUCCCUGAUCCACGCAUGUCAUGCAUGCCAGGGGGCGUCCGUGAUUUUUACUGUGACUAAAGAAGUGUGACCAAAGCAGUCGUUCGACUUGAAUUAGCAAGCAUGGGAUAACAAAGGAGCAGCCUUUAGGCUACCGUUUCGGCUUUUGUUGGUUUUAGAGGUCUAUUGGAGAUUAUGGAGCCGUGUUUGACAAGCGUUCCGUGUUGGGYCCGCAAGGGYCUGCACUGUCGCCUGCGACUAGGAUUUCCGGCUGGCGGCGUAAGCCUCACGGUGGACCGUCGUUAGUUCGUGGCCUAGCCGCUUCUCGGCUUUCAGGAAUGAAGGAGGGUAGCUCGGGUGAGAACGUACUGGGGCGUGAGAGGUGAAAUUCUUAGACCGCACCAAGACGAACUACAGCGAAGGCAUUCUCAAAGGAUACCUUCCUCAAUCAAGAACCAAAGUGCGGGGAUCGAAGAUGAUUAGAGACCAUUGUAGUCCGCACUGCAAACGAUGACACCCAUGAAUUGGGGACCUUUUGGUUGUGCGCCGGGGACAUCUUCGCGAUGCACCCCGGGCCACCGUUUACAAACUUACGUGCAUAUUCUUUUAUGGCCCGGGCAACCGGUGUCCAUCUACGGGAAUGUCCUCAGCACGUUUCUUCUUUCUUCACGCGAAAGC